GUCCUCUAAAGCAACUUCCGUGGGUGCCAGGUUGUGGGCUGGGGGCGGUGCUGACCUUGAGAGAGCGGAGGAGGCGCAGGCGCAGCACAGUUUAAACUUGAUUUUGUGAGGGGACGAACAGCGUGACAAUUAAAAGAAGAUCUGGGAAUCAUCCAAUGUGAUAAUUUAUGUGAAAUCUUUCUGCAAACUAUACAGUAUGAUAAAAAUAUAAGGUAGUUUCACUGGAAACAACAGAAGACUAGAAGCUGAUGUGACGUGGCAAUAUCAACCAGGAAUACCCAUCUCGAGUUCUGGAUAUGUGCUCUGAGAAGGUGCCCAUGUCACCGACCACACUGGAGGCCAAUGCAGAUACUGGGGGAAGGUUCCAUGGUAGCUAAGUGUGGACAAGCUAAUCACUGAAGUUCCCUGAUGCAGAGUUGAUAAUCUCUCUAGAGUUGGAUGAAAGACUGUGCUGCCUUGAAGCUCUGAGAGAUGCCAUGCCAAUUCAAGGCAGGGUCUUUAUUGUUGAAACUCUUGCGUAAUGACAUCUUUAUUCAGGUGAAAAUACAGGAUGAAUUUCAACUAUAUGAUAUUGUUUAUGUUCCUCAGACAUGUUAUUUGUCUUUACAAAGAUUGGUUUCAAUAAACUGUGUGACUGAUAUUAAAUAAACAUGGAAUUUUACACAUUCAUAAUAUUUGGUUUCU
Molecule: long non-coding RNA, 684 nt
Filed under: Homo sapiens (human)
Lineage: Eukaryota; Metazoa; Chordata; Mammalia; Primates; Hominidae
Description: non-protein coding TMEM161B-AS1:7
Source: RNAcentral